Molecule: small nucleolar RNA, 104 nt
Organism: Otolemur garnettii (small-eared galago)
Lineage: Eukaryota; Metazoa; Chordata; Mammalia; Primates; Galagidae
Source: Ensembl
AUCCCUCUGCAGUUCCUAAACAGGAUGAUUGGGUUUUCACACGCCUGUGUGGAAUGUGCCUCCCUCAAACCUCGUUGCACAGUCAGCACAUUAUCUGUCUGAUA